AUUGAACGCUGACGGCAGGCCUAACACAUGCAAGUCGAACGGUAACAGGAAGAAGCUUGCUUCUUUGCUGACGAGUGGCGGACGGGUGAGUAAUGUCUGGGAAACUGCCUGAUGGAGGGGGAUAACUACUGGAAACGGUAGCUAAUACCGCAUAACGUCGCAAGACCAAAAAGGGGGACCUUCGGGCCUCUUGCCAUCGGAUGUGCCCAGAUGGGAUUAGCUAGUAGGUGGGGUAACGGCUCACCUAGGCGACGAUCCCUAGCUGGUCUGAGAGGAUGACCAGCCACACUGGAACUGAGACACGGUCCAGACUCCUACGGGAGGCAGCAGUGGGGAAUAUUGCACAAUGGGCGCAAGCCUGAUGCAGCCAUGCCGCGUGUAUGAAGAAGGCCUUCGGGUUGUAAAGUACUUUCAGCGGGGAGGAAGGGAGUAAAGUUAAUACCUUUGCUCAUUGACGUUACCCGCAGAAGAAGCACCGGCUAACUCCGUG
Molecule: ribosomal RNA, 490 nt
Filed under: uncultured bacterium
Lineage: Bacteria
Description: partial 16S ribosomal RNA
Rfam family: Bacterial small subunit ribosomal RNA
Source: RNAcentral